UGACUACUCAAGCCUAGCUUGGUAUUGGGGUUCGCGGUCUCGUGACUCCUAAAAUCAGUGGCGGUGCCGUCUGGCUCUAAGCGUAGUAAUUUUCUCGCUAUGGAGUCCGGUCGGUUGCUUGCCAAAAUCCCCUAAUUUCUCACGG
Molecule: unclassified non-coding RNA, 145 nt
Filed under: uncultured Rhizoscyphus
Lineage: Eukaryota; Fungi; Ascomycota; Leotiomycetes; Helotiales; Helotiaceae
Description: sequence contains ITS2
Source: RNAcentral